UACGUAGGGUGCGAGCGUUGUCCGGAAUUACUGGGCGUAAAGAGCUCGUAGGUGGUUUGUCGCGUUGUUCGUGAAAACCGGGGGCUUAACCCUCGGCGUGCGGGCGAUACGGGCAGACUUGAGUACUGCAGGGGAGACUGGGAAUUCCUGGUGUAGCGGUGGAAUGCGCAGAUAUCAGGAGGAACACCGGUGGCGAAGGCGGGUCUCUGGGCAGUAACUGACGCUGAGGAGCGAAAGCGUGGGGAGCGAACAGG
This 254-nucleotide ribosomal RNA is filed under the name uncultured bacterium. RNAcentral describes it as "partial 16S ribosomal RNA". It matches the Rfam family "Bacterial small subunit ribosomal RNA", at positions 524 to 776 of the family's 1533-position model. The record is from RNAcentral.